CGGGGAAUUUUGGACAAUGGGCGAAAGCCUGAUCCAGCAAUGCCGCGUGUGUGAAGAAGGCCUUCGGGUUGUAAAGCACUUUUGUCCGGAAAGAAAUCCUUGGCUCUAAUACAGUCGGGGGAUGACGGUACCGGAAGAAUAAGCACCGGCUAACUACGUGCCAGCAGCCGCGGUAAUACGUAGGGUGCAAGCGUUAAUCGGAAUUACUGGGCGUAAAGCGUGCGCAGGCGGUUUGCUAAGACCGAUGUGAAAUCCCCGGGCUCAACCUGGGAACUGCAUUGGUGACUGGCAGGCUAGAGUAUGGCAGAGGGGGGUAGAAUUCCACGUGUAGCAGUGAAAUGCGUAGAGAUGUGGAGGAAUACCGAUGGCGAAGGCAGCCCCCUGGGCCAAUACUGACGCUCAUGCACGAAAGCGUGGGGAGCAAAACAGGAUUAGAUACCCUGGUAGUCCACGCCCUAAACGAUGUCAACUAGUUGUUGGGGAUUCAUUUCCUUAGUAACGUAGCUAACGCGUGAAGUUGGCCGCCUGGGGAGUACGGUCGCAAGAUUAAAACUCAAAGGAAUUGACGGGGUC
This 573-nucleotide ribosomal RNA is filed under the name uncultured bacterium. RNAcentral's name for it is "partial 16S ribosomal RNA". It matches the Rfam family "Bacterial small subunit ribosomal RNA", at positions 355 to 920 of the family's 1533-position model. The record is from RNAcentral.